UGCAGUCUGCCCCAGUGACUGGGGGCUAGAUGGUGACUGGCAGUAGCCAAAGACUGAGGCGAGGUAGGGGGUUCCCUGGGGAGGGGAGACCCAGCAAGACUGUGGGGUACUGCAGGAGGCAAAGCCCCAAGAGAAGGGGCACCAGGGUCCGGGAGGGACACCGGGGCCAGUGGCAAGGCAAGACACUGGCCUGCAGAGGGCUCUCCGGAGGCUGGCGAGCUAAUUCCCUGGACGACCAGCAGGAGGCGCCGCCGGUCUCUUCCUAUGUCCAGCAGAGGGCUCCCAACUUCUACAUCUUGAAGCAAGGAUGAAAGAUUGCUAUACAGUACUGAGGCCAGCCCUGGAAGAAUGGAAGCUGGGGUUUCACGGGACAUGUGACCAUGUCACCUGAUACUGGAAUCCAUCUUAAACCUGGUGCUUUUCCAUUUAGAAGGAGAGCUGGGGACCUAGAGAGACAAAAGAUUCCUGCCUUGUGCCAAAGAUAUAAAAGGGGGUGGAACAGAACAAAGGAGGCUGCCAGUGAUGGAAAACACCCCUGCUUUCCACCUAAGAUGCCUGCUGGAACUAACAAGGACUGUACCAGGGGAAAGGAUUGGGCCCAGACUAGGAAGGAGUCUAGUCUGUGAAAGAAGCUUAUUGGAACAUCUCUGAGGGUGAAAUUUACCUGUAAUCAGUUUCUUAAUGUAUUAGGUUUAGAUUUGCAUGUUUUGUUUUAUUGUGCUUGGUAACUUACUUUGUUCUGUCUGUUAUUACUUGGAACCACUUAAA
Malaclemys terrapin pileata is the source of this 768-nucleotide long non-coding RNA. RefSeq lists it as uncharacterized. The transcript is spliced from 3 exons. The record is from RefSeq and is a predicted model, not a curated record. NCBI's taxonomy places the organism in Eukaryota, Metazoa, Chordata, Testudines, Emydidae.